This 892-nucleotide long non-coding RNA is filed under the name Vulpes vulpes (red fox). RNAcentral describes it as "lncRNA (ENSVVUG00000000850.1)". The record is from RNAcentral. Lineage: Eukaryota; Metazoa; Chordata; Mammalia; Carnivora; Canidae.
UCUAAUGAGAAGAGCAUGACCCCCAGAUCUGAAAUAAGACUGGGGUGUUCAGUGGAGGCAGGUUUAUUUGCUGAAAUCUGACAGCCCAAAGGCAGUGAUUUCAGACUGGAAAAUGGAAAAUGGAGCAGAGCUACAUGGAUGCUAGGAAAAGCAGGUGGAAUGGGAAAGUUUCUGGGUACAUAAGAGUCAUUUGUAGCCAGGAAGUGGGAUGAUUCACAUCUCUAUAGAAAGCUAAAUGUGACCACAUUACCUUGCAGGGAUUUUCAGUUAGACAUACCAAAUCUAGGUAAUGGUGGGUGAGAGACAACAGAAUGAGUCACUGAAAAGGAUUACUGUGAGAAAAGGCAUAGAGGAGAUAGGUGAUCCUGCCAGGUGACCCAGCAGAACUGACUUGUGGAGAUGAACAGGGUGACAGCACAGUUAUUCAGCAAUCCACCUCAGGCACCAAAGGGAGAAAACAUACGAAGACAACCUGUAAACCCAGAUCCAGGGAGAGUGGCAAGGUGCCCAAAACAACUACAAGGGUAAAAAGACAUCUUCGAAAGAAUUUGACAGGAAAAGCUUCUCCAAAACCUUCCACCUCUUCAAGAAAACUCAAGAAAAGUAAAAGAACAACACUGUUUGGACACUACCACAGGCUGAAAAAAGCGCUAAAGCACAAUGAGUCAGAGAGACGCCAAGAAAGGGGAGAAAAACCCACCACUUCACGUGCUUAUCUGGGCAGCCAAUAACUCCAGAGCAAGGCCAGGGAUCUCAGACCUCCCUGCCAAGUCUCUGACGUUUGGCCCUUGAAAAUUGGCCAACUGUCUAGACAUCGAGUAUUACACCGAUGGGAUAAAACAUUCGUGAAAAUCAAAAUAAAAUCAGCCUGUUACAAAAAUGUACGUGUCUC